Molecule: long non-coding RNA, 1838 nt
Organism: Xenopus laevis (African clawed frog)
Lineage: Eukaryota; Metazoa; Chordata; Amphibia; Anura; Pipidae
Exons: 3
Source: RefSeq, a predicted model, not a curated record
UAAUGAAACAAAUGAAAAAACCAUAAAAAGUAUAAAUACAAAACUUCACUAUCUAAAAGCUGUUGUAGUCACAUGCUGUUGAAGUCAGUGGAAGCGGGUCUUUUUUAAAUAGAAACGCUUUUUUUUCUUUGUGCAUUUAGAAGUUUUUAGCCCUUUCAUUCAUACAAAAAUUGUUUUGUGAUUCUCAUGUUUUUCAUGGAUAUUUUCAGUCAUACUUUUUAUUAAAGGUUGUUUUAAUAAAUUACUUGGCCUUCGUGUUAAUAAAUGGGCCUCUAAAUAAACCUAAUAGGUUUGUUUUGCCACCAAAAUGGAUUCAUGCAACUUAGUUACCAUCAAGUACCAGCUACUCUUAUUAUUACAGAGGAAAUGGAAAUCACUGAAAAGAAAUACAAUUACUUGCUUAAAAUUGACUGUGGGAAAUAGUCUGUAAUUGGAAACUUUCUGUGUUUCAGGUUUUUGAAAAAUGUAUCUCAUAUCUCAAAUUGUAGCUAAAGUUACAGAGCAAAUGAUAAUAAAGGAUGCACAAGAUAUAAUAGACUUUUACUGUUUUUGAAAUUGGAGUUUGGCAGUUGAGGAGAACUGGCAGUGCAGGUUAGAAGUUGGGACUAACAUGGAUUUGGGACUCAUAUUUUUUUUUUUAAUGGUUACAUUUACCACCUGGGUCUUACUGCCAUUCUUCAUUUACUGAUAUGCCAGUCAUUGUUCUGCUGUGACAAUAACUACUAAUAUUCUUUUUCAGUUUGAAAGAUUAGAACAAUUGCUCAUAUUUUUCACAAUUCUGGCAAAAUAUGUUGCGCUUAUCAAGUUUUGCAUACAGAUGUUUCUAGUUUGUUUGCUAUUUUUGAUGAUACCACUUUAAAAAGUGAGGCAGCGUGUUUAAGAAGACAUUUUCAUUCUUACACAAGGGGCACCCUGCUCAGUGGCUUUUUUUGGAUUCAACACAACAUGUUGUUGUCUUUUAACAUGUAGCAAAGUUAUAUUGAAAGUUAUAUUGAAUUGUUGUAGUGCGGGCAGUGUCGGACUGGCCCACCGGGAGACCGGGAGAAAUCCCGGUGGGCCCCAGGUCCUUGUGGGCCCCUGCGGGCACUCGCUACUUCAUUUCUUUGCAGGUAGUUAGAUCGUGCGCCCCAGUUUCGCGCAAGUAUAUAGUAGCUAUGUGGGCCCCCCCUCAAACUUAAUGGGCCCGCCCCACUCCCUACUUCACCAGGCACAUAGUGCUUUAAUUGGAAAUGCUGCCCCGCUGUUCCUGCUACUGUCCGGUUGUGUAUGUUAUCUGCUGUCCGACCUGAUGUCAGACUCUGCACGUGGAGGGAAUCUGAGAGAGGCGAGUUGAGAAGGGAGCGUCUGCGGAUUACAGCGAGUGGCUGCCUGUGCUGAUUUAUCUUCUGGGCCGGUUGGGGCUGCAUGCUCGCGCUCACUGUGUUCCUUCUAAACUGGCUCCUCUGCUACAUUACCGGUGAGCAAAUUAUCCUGGGGGGUGGAGGAAUGGGGGAUGUGCUGUCUGUGCAAAAGAUCUGGAGGGGUGCUGCUGUCAGAACAAGUGAUCCUGGGGGAGGGCAAACAAUCCAGCACCAAAAUGUAAUUUUACAUUUAACCCCUGAGGACUCUUAGAUUCUUUGCCCCUUUAAGUUUGCUGCUCUACUUUUACUGCCUGUUUCCAUGCUCCUUUGUAGUUGCUGCAUCUCUCCAUCUCUCCUGGUUGAGUUAUAAGUUAUUUUACUGCAACUGGUGUGCUUACAAUGAAUUAAAAAUUGAUUAAAUAAAUAAAAUGUUCACUGAAUUUUUACUUGAUUGAUUGUUAGUGUAACAUGAAUUUUUAGUUGAUUAAUAAAUAACAA